UACGUAGGUGGCAAGCGUUGUCCGGAUUUACUGGGCGUAAAGAGCGCGCAGGCGGUCGUUCAAGUCGAGUGUGAAAGCCCCCGGCUCAACUGGGGAGGGUCACUCGAUACUGAUCGACUCGAAGGCAGAAGAGGGAAGCGGAAUUCCCGGUGUAGUGGUGAAAUGCGUAGAUAUCCGGAGGAACACCGGUGGCGAAGGCGGCUUCCUGGACCGAUACUGACGCUGAGGAGCGAAAGCGUGGGGAGCGAACAGG
RNAcentral lists this ribosomal RNA (253 nucleotides) under uncultured bacterium. RNAcentral's name for it is "partial 16S ribosomal RNA". It matches the Rfam family "Bacterial small subunit ribosomal RNA", at positions 524 to 776 of the family's 1533-position model. The record is from RNAcentral.